GCUCAAUGAUUUAUCCUAAAGUGAACACACUCAUGGAACAACUACCUAGCUGAGAAAUAGAACAUACUGAAGACCCCCGAGGACCCUAUGUCCAUGCCCUUUCCCAAACUCUACCCACUCCUUACACCCCAAAGAUGUGGCCAGUUUUCCACAGAGGAUGAACAAAGUUAUGCUCACACCAGCAGCAAGUUAAAGUCUCCGUUGUUCCACAUUUUUGACAACAUUAAGUGUUGUCACUCUAAUUUUUGCCAUUCUGGGUUCAUCCACACCCACCACCUUCAACUUCCUGCUGUGCACCGUAGUUCUUCCCACCUGGGGCCCACCUCCGAACAACCUCAUCUCAUCCAUCAAAUCCCCACUAAACUGGAUCUCCCCAAGGAAGCCUUUCCAAACACCACCCUCAGUUCAGCAUCUAUUUCCUUAGUAUAUAUCCUCAUAACAGUAUCUACUUCUCCUUCUUAGCAUUCACACUACUCCUGAAUGGGUUAUGUACACUGUUACAUGUUUCAUAUAUCUUUUCUCUACUUCAGGAGGGUACAGGCUAUACCAGCUUCCCCACUCUGUCCCCAAGGUACUCAAUAAAUAUAUGACUAAUAAUGAAGGCUGAAAGUACAAGGAUGGAGAUGAUCUGUUGCUAUUCUCGUAGAACUUAUAGUAUAGGUAGUAUGAAUCUUCCAAAGACACAAACUAAAUAUUAUAAGACUCAGAGGAGGGAGAAGGAAAGGAAGGCUUCCUUGAGGAGAUGGGCCUUAAAGAGCCCAUAAAGAGGAUUGGGAAGGACAAGAACAAGACCAUGGGGAGGCCAGGGGAUGUGCCACUUGGCUGGAACAUAGAAAUGGGAAACUAUUCUCUUCUCUGGUGGAUUCCCAGUGCAUAUAGUAAACACUCAACAUAUACAUGUUAACUUAAGACAUUAAUGAAUAUGCCCAGUGUGUUAAGAGAGCCUGCUUCGUGGGAAGGCUUAGGCAAGAGGUUGGGAGAGAUUGUCAUGGGAAGAGUAGAUUGAAGUGUCAAAGGAGG
This 1020-nucleotide long non-coding RNA is filed under the name Homo sapiens (human). Its description in RNAcentral is "HSALNT0055356". The record is from RNAcentral. Lineage: Eukaryota; Metazoa; Chordata; Mammalia; Primates; Hominidae.